AGUGAACGCUGGCGGUAGGCCUAACACAUGCAAGUCGAACGGCAGCACAGUAAGAGCUUGCUCUUACGGGUGGCGAGUGGCGGACGGGUGAGGAAUACAUCGGAAUCUACUUUUUCGUGGGGGAUAACGUAGGGAAACUUACGCUAAUACCGCAUACGACCUACGGGUGAAAGCAGGGGAUCUUCGGACUUUGCGCGAUUGAAUGAGCCGAUGUUGGAUUAGCUAGUUGGCGGGGUAAAGGCCCACCAAGGCGACGAUCCGUAUCGGGUCUGAGAGGAUGAUCAGCCACACUGGAACUGAGACACGGUCCAGACUCCUACGGGAGGCAGCAGUGGGGAAUAUUGGACAAUGGGCGCAAGCCUGCUCCAGCCAUACCGCGUGGGUGAAGAAGGCCUUCGGGUUGUAAAGCCCUUUUGUUGGGAAAGAAAAGCAGCAGGUUAAUACCCCGCUGUUCUGACGGUACCCAAAGAAUAAGCACCGGCUAACUUCGUG
This 492-nucleotide ribosomal RNA is filed under the name uncultured bacterium. RNAcentral's name for it is "partial 16S ribosomal RNA". It matches the Rfam family "Bacterial small subunit ribosomal RNA", at positions 29 to 507 of the family's 1533-position model. The record is from RNAcentral.